RNAcentral lists this long non-coding RNA (1321 nucleotides) under Homo sapiens (human). RNAcentral describes it as "HSALNT0309926". The record is from RNAcentral. Lineage: Eukaryota; Metazoa; Chordata; Mammalia; Primates; Hominidae.
CAGAUCACAACUGAUAUAGAGGUUUAUUUUGCCAAAAUUGUGGAUUUGCCUGGGGAAAAAGAAACACAGGUUACAGUAGGAUUUUUGGCCUGUACUUUUUUCCAAAUAUUUAAGGGAAAAGCGCCGGUAGGAGGGGAAAGAGGGGAGAGUAGGCUAUGAGGCAAGUGGUCACAUUUUUGUGAGGCUCUGAUUAGAGUACAGCAAAUCUACAUUUCACAUGUGAAAAGAAAGGUAUGGGGGAGGGUUAUACAUCUGUCUCAUACUCAGUAGAUCUACAUUUCACAUAAGAUAAAGUAAGCUUUUGGGAACAAAAAGAAGGCAUGUAUGUGUGUGUGUGUGUGUGUGUGCGUGUGUGUGUGUGUGUUGCCAAUAUUAACUUUUCCCUUUGGCAUAGUAAGUUUGGAGGCCUGAGAUUUUAUUUUUCUUUCACUGAUGUGUCAAGAUUAACUGCAUAUGGAAUACUAGUAGAAAUUGCCAAGCCAAGACCCCACCACCACAAUAGGGGACAUAGUAAUAUUAAAUUUAGCCCAAUUGGCCAGCAUCCACACAAUUCCUAGUGAAAGAAUUCCUGGCUGGAUGGUAAAGAGGUAAACUAACUGCAGAAACUCACAAAGCAACAAAAGAAGUCCACAGAAUAAGAGCAGGAAUUCAGAGAGUAACCACAGAGAGAUCCACAGAGUAACAGCAGGAAUUCACAGAGUAACAGCAGAACCCACAGUGUAACAUCAGAGCCCACAGAGUAACAGCAGAGCCCACAAAGUAACGUCAGAACCCACAGAGUAACAGCAGAGCCCACAGAGUAAUGUCGGAACCCACAGAGUAACACAAGAGCCCAGAGAGUAACAGCAGGACACACAGAGAAAUAGCAGGAACCCACAGAGUAACAUCAGAGUCCACAGAGUAAUAUCAGAACCCACAGAGUAAAAACAGGACCCACAGUGUAACAUCAGAGCCCACAGAGUAACAGCAGGAAUUCACAGAGUAACAUCAGAACCCAUAGUGUAAUAGCAGAGCCUACAGAGUAACAGCAGGAACCCACAGAGUAAUAGCAGGAACUCAGAGUAACAGCAGAAACCUACAGAACAGGAUCAGAAACCCAUGGAGUAACAGCAGGAAGCCAUGAAGCAGUUCUGUCCAACUUAGGUCAGCAUAUUCAUGGUCUUGGGUCUUCUUUGUGUGUGCUUUCUACCAGGACUGGGCUUAGCUCUGUGCUUGUGAAGAGUAACCCACUCAGUGCCCUCUGAAAUUUCGCCACUGGAGGAGGAGAAAAACCCCAGAGGGGCGGGGAGAAACGCUUUUCAAAACACAUGGUGCAGCUGGA